Anser cygnoides (Swan goose) is the source of this 1168-nucleotide long non-coding RNA. Lineage: Eukaryota; Metazoa; Chordata; Aves; Anseriformes; Anatidae. The record is from Ensembl.
UCCUAUAAGCAUGCUCUGACUGAAAUCACUUUGGCUUAAUCAGUUUCCUACAGGUUAUUAUAAACAAAGAAACAAUAAUUAUAAACAAGGAAAAGAAAAACUGUUUUAGCAUACAGAUCAGUGAUGUUGCUUAUACUGCUCAGUUCCCCAUGAGCAUUUUGUCUUAGAAGGGAUUCUUAAACUUAAAAUAGCCAAUAAAAGCCUUUUCCCUGAACUAAAAGUACCUUAACUGUUUUCUGUACUAACAGACUGAACAGUAAGCAUAAAUGCAGCUGUUACAUCAGUUACAUAUCAGCCUGACAGGCCUAAGUAUAGCUAGUUCUGCUUGUCUUGCGAUUAAUCUCAAGUAAAAGUAGGUGACAGUAAUUGCCGUUGUUGGGAAAUGAGUUCUCCUGAGAAGAGAGCAGUUCUGUGAAUGCAUAAAAAUGUGGCAUAACAUGUAUUGAGAGCUUACUGUGUCAAGGCAAAAUUCCACAUUCAGAACUAGGGAGUGAAAUUAUGCAUCUAAUGAAAUAUACAUCUGAGGAAUCCCUUUAAAAUAUUCAGCCAAAGUCAACCCUAUCAUAUGUCUGGCAGAGGAAUUGUGCCUGGUAGUAAGCCCAUUAUAUCUAAGGGUUGUAUUCUAUAUUUUUGAUUAUGUGAUUUCAUCUGGAAUUAAGGCUAAGUAAAAUAAAACCAUCAUUAAAAAUGGUCUAGAUAAAUAACUUUUGUUGAGCUUAAUGACAUUGUCUUAAAUUCAUUACCUCUCAUCUUGCAAUAUGCAGAGUAAGACAUCAAUAUGUGGGAAUCCUCGUGAAGGUCUGUAGGCAAGCCAGGCUGCUGUGUUUCUGUUACAGUCAAUGGAAAACUACUCUUUGCUGUCUGUGGAGUUCAUAAAGAGAUUCAGCUCAGCAUAUGUAGGUGCAUCUUUUGCUGGAGGUGGAUGCUGCAACUUAACUUUUCUGAAGCAAUGAGAAAAUCAGUUAUAUAAUUUGUUGCAUAACAAGCUUUCCUGCAACUACCUUUCAAAAUAAUUUGUUGAGUGUUAAGGGUGAGCUGAAAUGGGUGAAUCAACGCACUUGUGAAAGGCCAACCAUUUUUGCGGUUUUAGUGUUAAAUCUAUGCCAUUGAAUGAAAUCUGAUCAUAUAAGUCAAUAAAAGACAUCUGUGAGACCUGAGCUCUAAAGCA